UGUGAGCUCGAUGAGUAGGGCGGGACACGUGGUAUCCUGUCUGAAUAUGGGGGGACCAUCCUCCAAGGCUAAAUACUCCUGACUGACCGAUAGUGAACCAGUACCGUGAGGGAAAGGCGAAAAGAACCCCGGCGAGGGGAGUGAAAAAGAACCUGAAACCGUGUACGUACAAGCAGUGGGAGCACGCUUAGGCGUGUGACUGCGUACCUUUUGUAUAAUGGGUCAGCGACUUAUAUUCUGUAGCAAGGUUAACCGAAUAGGGGAGCCGAAGGGAAACCGAGUCUUAACUGGGCGUUAAGUUGCAGGGUAUAGACCCGAAACCCGGUGAUCUAGCCAUGGGCAGGUUGAAGGUUGGGUAACACUAACUGGAGGACCGAACCGACUAAUGUUGAAAAAUUAGCGGAUGACUUGUGGCUGGGGGUGAAAGGCCAAUCAAACCGGGAGAUAGCUGGUUCUCCCCGAAAGCUAUUUAGGUAGCGCCUCGUGAAUUCAUCUCCGGGGGUAGAGCACUGUUUCGGCAAGGGGGUCAUCCCGACUUACCAACCCGAUGCAAACUGCGAAUACCGGAGAAUGUUAUCACGGGAGACACACGGCGGGUGCUAACGUCCGUCGUGAAGAGGGAAACAACCCAGACCGCCAGCUAAGGUCCCAAAGUCAUGGUUAAGUGGGAAACGAUGUGGGAAGGCCCAGACAGCCAGGAUGUUGGCUUAGAAGCAGCCAUCAUUUAAAGAAAGCGUAAUAGCUCACUGGUCGAGUCGGCCUGCGCGGAAGAUGUAACGGGGCUAAACCAUGCACCGAAGCUGCGGCAGCGACGCUUAUGCGUUGUUGGGUAGGGGAGCGUUCUGUAAGCCUGUGAAGGUGUGCUGUGAGGCAUGCUGGAGGUAUCAGAAGUGCGAAUGCUGACAUAAGUAACGAUAAAGCGGGUGAAAAGCCCGCUCGCCGGAAGACCAAGGGUUCCUGUCCAACGUUAAUCGGGGCAGGGUGAGUCGACCCCUAAGGCGAGGCCGAAAGGCGUAGUCGAUGGGAAACAGGUUAAUAUUCCUGUACUUGGUGUUACUGCGAAGGGGGGACGGAGAAGGCUAUGUUGGCCGGGCGACGGUUGUCCCGGUUUAAGCGUGUAGGCUGGUUUUCCAGGCAAAUCCGGAAAAUCAAGGCUGAGGCGUGAUGACGAGGCACUACGGUGCUGAAGCAACAAAUGCCCUGCUUCCAGGAAAAGCCUCUAAGCAUCAGGUAACAUCAAAUCGUACCCCAAACCGACACAGGUGGUCAGGUAGAGAAUACCAAGGCGCUUGAGAGAACUCGGGUGAAGGAACUAGGCAAAAUGGUGCCGUAACUUCGGGAGAAGGCACGCUGAUAUGUAGGUGAAGUCCCUYGCGGAUGGAGCUGAAAUCAGUCGAAGAUACCAGCUGGCUGCAACUGUUUAUUAAAAACACAGCACUGUGCAAACACGAAAGUGGACGUAUACGGUGUGACGCCUGCCCGGUGCCGGAAGGUUAAUUGAUGGGGUYAGCGCAAGCGAAGCUCUUGAUCGAAGCCCCGGUAAACGGCGGCCGUAACUAUAACGGUCCUAAGGUAGCGAAAUUCCUUGUCGGGUAAGUUCCGACCUGCACGAAUGGCGUAAUGAUGGCCAGGCUGUCUCCACCCGAGACUCAGUGAAAUUGAACUCGCUGUGAAGAUGCAGUGUACCCGCGGCAAGACGGAAAGACCCCGUGAACCUUUACUAUAGCUUGACACUGAACAUUGAGCCUUGAUGUGUAGGAUAGGUGGGAGGCUUGGAAGUGYGGACGCCAGUCUGCAUGGAGCCGACCUUGAAAUACCACCCUUUAAUGUUUGAUGUUCUAACGUUGACCCGUAAUCCGGGUUGCGGACAGUGUCUGGUGGGUAGUUUGACUGGGGCGGUCUCCUCCUAAAGAGUAACGGAGGAGCACGAAGGUUGGCUAAUCCUGGUCGGACAUCAGGAGGUUAGUGCAAUGGCAUAAGCCAGCUUGACUGCGAGCGUGACGGCGCGAGCAGGUGCGAAAGCAGGUCAUAGUGAUCCGGUGGUUCUGAAUGGAAGGGCCAUCGCUCAACGGAUAAAAGGUACUCCGGGGAUAACAGGCUGAUACCGCCCAAGAGUUCAUAUCGACGGCGGUGUUUGGCACCUCGAUGUCGGCUCAUCACAUCCUGGGGCUGAAGUAGGUCCCAAGGGUAUGGCUGUUCGCCAUUUAAAGUGGUACGCGAGCUGGGUUUAGAACGUCGUGAGACAGUUCGGUCCCUAUCUGCCGUGGGCGCUGGAGAACUGAGGGGGGCUGCUCCUAGUACGAGAGGACCGGAGUGGACGCAUCACUGGUGUUCGGGUUGUCAUGCCAAUGGCACUGCCCGGUAGCUAAAUGCGGAAGAGAUAAGUGCUGAAAGCAUCUAAGCACGAAACUUGCCCCGAGAUGAGUUCUCCCUGACUCCUUGAGAGUCCUGAAGGAACGUUGAAGACGACGACGUUGAUAGGCCGGGUGUGUAAGCGCAGCGAUGCGUUGAGCUAACCGGUACUAAUGAACCGUGAGGCUUAACCUUACAACGCCGAAGMUGUU
Molecule: ribosomal RNA, 2564 nt
Filed under: Escherichia coli
Lineage: Bacteria; Pseudomonadati; Pseudomonadota; Gammaproteobacteria; Enterobacterales; Enterobacteriaceae
Description: partial 23S ribosomal RNA
Rfam family: Bacterial large subunit ribosomal RNA
Source: RNAcentral